AAAGGAAGCGAACGAAGCUAGUGAACGCUCUGUCAUACUUUCCUACUUGCUUGCAAGUCGGACGCUGUGGCGAGCCCUGUUCGAUUUGAUUGCUCCAUGUGAAAGCAGGCAAAGAAAAGACACCCAUUCUCUUUUGCCUUNUUGCCUUUGGCACGUGCUGUGAUCGAGUUGAACCAAAUAGGUUUGUUUGUCCCGUCUAGAAACACGGACCAAGGAGUCUAACAUAUGUGCGAGUACUGGGGGAACACACCUUGGUGCGCAAUGAAAGUGUCAGAGGCUGGAAUGCAAUAUGCAUUUGCACAGUCCGCCGGCCUCAAUCCCUCGGGAAAAUGGUCUGAGUGUGAGCAUACAUGUUGGGACCCGAAAGAUGGUGAACUAUGCUUGAGUAGGGUGAAGCCAGGGGAAACUUUGGUGAAGGCUCGCAGCGAUUCUGACGUGCAAAUCGAUCGUCAAACUUGAGUAUAGGGGCGAAAGACUAAUCGAACUAUCUAGUAGCUG
This 498-nucleotide ribosomal RNA is filed under the name Pinnularia borealis. RNAcentral's name for it is "eukaryotic LSU rRNA". It matches the Rfam family "Eukaryotic large subunit ribosomal RNA", at positions 412 to 953 of the family's 3401-position model. The record is from RNAcentral. Lineage: Eukaryota; Bacillariophyta; Bacillariophyceae; Sellaphorales; Pinnulariaceae.